GAAAUGCGAUAAGUAGUGUGAAUUGCAGAAUUCAGUGAAUCAUCGAAUCUUUGAACGCACAUUGCGCUCCCUGGCAUUCCGGGGAGCAUGCCCGUUUCAGAAUCAUUAAAAACAUCUCACCACUCUGGUGGUGGAUGAUGGACAGUUUGGACUUGCAAAAGUUCAAUUGUCUGAAAAUGAUUGUGCGCGCUCCGGCUGUUGUCGGUUAGCUCUAAAGGUGCAACAAGAUUAACAUCUAUUCGCCUCUAUGAGUUGGCCAUAUAUGACGAAGGUGUUGUGUACUCCCUUUAUUAACCGUGCUGUGUAGCCUAGCUGCAUGGCUCGUUAACUUGGUCUGAAAUCGGGCAAGAAAACCCGCUGAACUUAA
This 367-nucleotide unclassified non-coding RNA is filed under the name uncultured Chytridiomycota. RNAcentral describes it as "sequence contains ITS1". The stretch from base 1 to 105 matches the Rfam family "5.8S ribosomal RNA", at positions 50 to 154 of the family's 154-position model. Lineage: Eukaryota; Fungi; Chytridiomycota. The record is from RNAcentral.